Molecule: transfer RNA, 64 nt
Filed under: Ochthebius nobilis
Lineage: Eukaryota; Metazoa; Arthropoda; Insecta; Coleoptera; Hydraenidae
Description: tRNA-Tyr
Source: RNAcentral
GGUAAAAUGGCUGAGGUUAGGCGAUAAAUUGUAAGUUUAUUAACGAAAUUAAUUUCUUUUACCA